Non-coding RNA from Lytechinus pictus (painted urchin), 85 nucleotides. The record is from the annotation of a RefSeq genome assembly. NCBI's taxonomy places the organism in Eukaryota, Metazoa, Echinodermata, Echinoidea, Temnopleuroida, Toxopneustidae.
GUUGCGAUUGCCGAGUGGUUAAGGCGUUUGACUAGAAAUCAAAUGGGAUCUUCCCGCGUAGGUUCCGCGAAUCCUACUCGCAACG